RNAcentral lists this ribosomal RNA (558 nucleotides) under Triticum aestivum (bread wheat). RNAcentral's name for it is "partial small subunit ribosomal RNA". Lineage: Eukaryota; Viridiplantae; Streptophyta; Magnoliopsida; Poales; Poaceae. The record is from RNAcentral.
ACUGCGUUACCCGUGAUUGAAACACAAGCUGGAGACGUAUCGGCCUAUAUCCCCACCAAUGUGAUCUCCAUUACAGAUGGACAAAUCUGUUCGGAAACAGAGCUCUUUUAUCGCGGAAUUAUACCAGCUAUUAACGUUGGCUUAUCCGUCAGUCGCGUCGGGUCUGCCGCUCAGUUGAAAGCUAUGAAACAAGUCUGCGGUAGUUCAAAACUAGAAUUGGCACAAUAUCGCGAAGUGGCCGCCUUCGCUCAAUUUGGGUCAGACCUUGAUGCUGCGACUCAGGUAUUACUCAAUAGAGGUGCAAGGCUUACAGAAAUGCCCAAACAACCACAAUAUGAACCACUUCCAAUUGAAAAACAAAUUGUUGUGAUUUAUGCUGCUGUCAACGGCUUCUGUGAUCGAAUGCCACUAGACAGAAUUUCUCGAUAUGAAAAAGCCAUUCUAAGUACUAUUAAUCCUGAAUUACAAAAAUCCUUCUUAGAAAAAGGUGGCUUAACUAACGAAAGAAAGAUGGAUCCAGAUGCUUCUUUAAAAGAAAGCACUUUGCCUUACCUGUGA